Molecule: ribosomal RNA, 253 nt
Filed under: uncultured bacterium
Lineage: Bacteria
Description: partial 16S ribosomal RNA
Rfam family: Bacterial small subunit ribosomal RNA
Source: RNAcentral
UGCGUAGGGUGCGAGCGUUAAUCGGAAUUACUGGGCGUAAAGCGUGCGCAGGCGGUUUUGUAAGCCAGAUGUGAAAGCCCCGGGCUUAACCUGGGAAUGGCAUUUGGGACUGCAAGGCUUGAGUGCGGCAGAGGAGACUGGAAUUCCUGGUGUAGCAGUGAAAUGCGUAGAUAUCAGGAGGAAUACCGAUGGCGAAGGCAGGUCUCUGGGCUGACACUGACGCUCAUGCACGAAAGCGUGGGGAGCAAACAGG